GACGAACGCUGGCGGCGUGCUUAACACAUGCAAGUCGAGCGGAAAGGCCUUUCGGGGUACUCGAGCGGCGAACGGGUGAGUAACACGUGAGUAACCUGCCCCUGGCUUUGGGAUAACCAUCGGAAACGGUGGCUAAUACCGAAUAUUCACUUCUUCCCGCAUGGGUUUUUGUGGAAAGUUUUCGGCUGGGGAUGGGCUCGCGGCCUAUCAGCUUGUUGGUGGGGUGAUGGCCUACCAAGGCUUUGACGGGUAGCCGGCCUGAGAGGGCGACCGGCCACACUGGGACUGAGACACGGCCCAGACUCCUACGGGAGGCAGCAGUGGGGAAUAUUGCACAAUGGGCGGAAGCCUGAUGCAGCGACGCCGCGUGA
RNAcentral lists this ribosomal RNA (371 nucleotides) under uncultured bacterium. RNAcentral describes it as "bacterial SSU rRNA". It matches the Rfam family "Bacterial small subunit ribosomal RNA", at positions 28 to 404 of the family's 1533-position model. The record is from RNAcentral.